RNAcentral lists this ribosomal RNA (141 nucleotides) under uncultured bacterium. Its description in RNAcentral is "partial 16S rRNA". It matches the Rfam family "Bacterial small subunit ribosomal RNA", at positions 355 to 511 of the family's 1533-position model. The record is from RNAcentral.
UGGGGAAUUUUCCGCAAUGGGCGAUAGCCUGACGGAGCAAUGCCGCGUGGAGCUGGAAGGCCUACGGGUCGUCAACUUCUUUUCUCGGAGAAGAAACAAUGACGGUAUCUGAGGAAUAAGCAUCGGCUAACUCUGUGCUAG